Molecule: ribosomal RNA, 253 nt
Filed under: uncultured bacterium
Lineage: Bacteria
Description: partial 16S ribosomal RNA
Rfam family: Bacterial small subunit ribosomal RNA
Source: RNAcentral
UACGGAGGGGACUAGCGUUGUUCGGAAUUACUGGGCGUAAAGCGCACGUAGGCGGAUUGUUAAGUCAGGGGUGAAAUCCCGAGGCUCAACCUCGGAACUGCCUUUGAUACUGGCAAUCUCGAGUCCGGAAGAGGUGAGUGGAAUUCCUAGUGUAGAGGUGAAAUUCGUAGAUAUUAGGAAGAACACCAGUGGCGAAGGCGGCUCACUGGCCCGGUACUGACGCUGAGGUGCGAAAGCGUGGGGAGCAAACAGG